UACGGAGGGUGCAAGCGUUAUCCGGAAUCAUUGGGUUUAAAGGGUCCGUAGGCGGACUGAUAAGUCAGAGGUGAAAUCCCACAGCUCAACUGUGGAACUGCCUUUGAUACUGUCAGUCUUGAGUCAUUUGGAAGUAGAUAGAAUGUGUAGUGUAGCGGUGAAAUGCAUAGAUAUUACACAGAAUACCGAUUGCGAAGCAGUCUACUACGAAUGUACUGACGCUGAUGGACGAAAGCGU
RNAcentral lists this ribosomal RNA (238 nucleotides) under uncultured bacterium. RNAcentral describes it as "partial 16S ribosomal RNA". It matches the Rfam family "Bacterial small subunit ribosomal RNA", at positions 524 to 762 of the family's 1533-position model. The record is from RNAcentral.